AACGCAGAUGGCGCUCUCGGGAUAGACCUGGGAGCAUGCCUCUUCGAGUGUCGAUUCAAUCAAACCCAGCGACUUGCUUUAUUGUGAGUGCAGCUGAAAAUUGAGUGUCUCACGAAAGUGUGUCACUUUAAGCGGAGCGAGUCUCCUUUUCUCUAGCGCCUGAUAAGAGUUCAUUCUCUUGUCUAGCCUGAGUCUAAGUUUUGCUUAUGCAAACUAAGCCUGCUAGUGAUGCGGAUAAUCACGCUUAUGUGUGUUCCAACAUGACUUUCAGGGGUAGUGAGUUGAGCAAAGGACUUUAGUGUCAGCUGGAUUCGGUGCGAAAACGCAAGAGAUCUGUGUUAGACGGACUGAGGACCCGUAGCGAUACGCGGAACUCAAUCACUCUUUGACUUAGACCUCGAAUGAAGCAAGACAACCCGCCGAACUUAA
RNAcentral lists this unclassified non-coding RNA (429 nucleotides) under uncultured soil eukaryote. RNAcentral describes it as "sequence contains 5.8S rRNA gene, ITS2, 28S rRNA gene". The record is from RNAcentral.